RNAcentral lists this ribosomal RNA (933 nucleotides) under Bacillus sp. PS1(2011). Its description in RNAcentral is "bacterial SSU rRNA". It matches the Rfam family "Bacterial small subunit ribosomal RNA", at positions 37 to 971 of the family's 1533-position model. The record is from RNAcentral. Lineage: Bacteria; Bacillati; Bacillota; Bacilli; Caryophanales; Bacillaceae.
AGGGGGGGGGCCCUAAUACAUGCAAGUCGAGCGGACCGACGGGAGCUUGCUCCCUUAGGUCAGCGGCGGACGGGUGAGUAACACGUGGGUAACCUGCCUGUAAAACUGGGAUAACUCCGGGAAACCGGGGCUAAUACCGGAUGCUUGAUUGAACCGCAUGGUUCAAUCAUAAAAGGUGGUUUUUAGCUACCACUUACAGAUGGACCCGCGGCGCAUUAGCUAGUUGGUGAGGUAACGGCUCACCAAGGCGACGAUGCGUAGCCAACCUGAGAGGGUGAUCGGCCACACUGGGACUGAAACACGGCCCAAACUCCUACGGGAGGCAGCAGUAGGGAAUCUUCCGCAAUGGACAAAAGUCUGACGGAGCAACGCCGCGUGAGUGAUGAAGGUUUUCGGAUCGUAAAACUCUGUUGUUAGGGAAAAACAAGUACCGUUCGAAUAGGGCGGCACCUUGACGGUACCUAACCAAAAAGCCACGGCUAACUACGUGCCAGCAGCCGCGGUAAUACGUAGGUGGCAAGCGUUGUCCGGAAUUAUUGGGCGUAAAGCGCGCGCAGGCGGUUUCUUAAGUCUGAUGUGAAAGCCCCCGGCUCAACCGGGGAGGGUCAUUGGAAACUGGGGAACUUGAGUGCAGAAGAGGAGAGUGGAAUUCCACGUGUAGCGGUGAAAUGCGUAGAGAUGUGGAGGAACACCAGUGGCGAAGGCGACUCUCUGGUCUGUAACUGACGCUGAGGCGCGAAAGCGUGGGGAGCGAACAGGAUUAGAUACCCUGGUAGUCCACGCCGUAACGAUGAGUGCUAGUGUAGAGGGUUUCCGCCCUUUAGUGCUGCAGCAACGCAUAGCACUCCGCUGGAGUACGGUCGCAGACUGAAACUCAAGAAUGGACGGGUCGCCAGCGGUGACAUGUGAUAAUUCGAGCCACGCGAAGAAACU